UCGUCAUACCUUUAUUCCAAAAAACCCUAUCUUCCCCUUUCAAUCCUUUCAAUUUUGGGUUUGCAAGCCGCGAGCAACGAAGACAAACUCUCCGACGAAGGUUCUCCUCUCCGGCGAAGGUCCUCCUCUCUGACAAAGGUCCUCCUCUCCGACGAUGGUUACUCGGAAUGCGAAGUACGACGGUCGAUGGCUACUUGGCUUCCCCUUAUUUUGAGAUGGAAGUUGCCCUUAUCCUCUCAGGCGACGGGUGACGGGCAACGAGAUACUGAGCAAUCCGAUAGGCAACGAGCGAUGACUACUUGGCUUCCCUUCAUAUAUGUGUGUAUUCAACAACCGAGAAGAGAAGGAAGGAAGGAUUUCAGGGUUAGAGACCAUAGGGCUUGAUUAUUACCUUCAUUGCUGCUAAUUACCAUCUACAUUUCAUCCAUGAAGAACACUCCUAAGUCAGGAUAAGAGAAAGCAAGGGGAUGAGAUUCAGCAUGAAGGUAGUAGCUCCCAAGUACUGACAAGGUCACAAGCAACUUCUCAGCCUAUACAACAAACAAUUUAGGAUAGAUCUUUAGUCCAACAUGCUAUCAAGAACUCGAAAUGGAAGACCAAAUAUGCUAAGAAGAAGUAGACAAAUGUAUGUUGGUGAUGGGAGAGACCAACUGAGAUAUGGAAUUAGUGAUGGGAGAGAGCAACUGGGAUAUGAAACAAGUUCUUUUUUUAUUUAUUUUUUUAUGGGAUGAAAAAAGUUGUUAUGAUAGAUGUUUAAUGGGUAAUGAAACUAUUUGUUUGUUUCCUUAUGUGUUGGAACAAUGAUGUUUAGUUGUGUUGUAGAACAAAUUGUUUGUUUAUUUGGGUUUCAGAAGAAUGAUUUUUAUUUGGUA
This is a long non-coding RNA of Macadamia integrifolia, 872 nucleotides long. RefSeq lists it as uncharacterized. Lineage: Eukaryota; Viridiplantae; Streptophyta; Magnoliopsida; Proteales; Proteaceae. The transcript is spliced from 3 exons. The record is from RefSeq and is a predicted model, not a curated record.